CUUGACAUCCAGAGAAUUUAGCAGAGAUGCUUUAGUGCCUUCGGGAACUCUGAGACAGGUGCUGCAUGGCUGUCGUCAGCUCGUGUUGUGAAAUGUUGGGUUAAGUCCGCAACGAGCGCAACCCUUAUCCUUUGUUGCCAGCACGUAAUGGUGGGAACUCAAAGGAGACUGCCGGUGAUAAACCGGAGGAAGGUGGGGAUGACGUCAAGUCAUCAUGGCCCUUACGAGUAGGGCUACACACGUACUACAAUGGCGCAUACAAAGAGAAGCGACCUCGCGAGAGCAAGCGGACCUCAUAAAGUGCGUCGUAGUCCGGAUUGGAGUCUGCAACUCGACUCCAUGAAGUCGGAAUCGCUAGUAAUCGUAAAUCAGAAUGUUACGGUGAAUACGUUCCCGGGCCUUGUACACACCGCCCGUCACACCAUGGGAGUGGGUUGCAAAAGAAGUAGAUAGCUUAACCUUCGGGAGGGCGUUUACCACUUUGUGAUUCAUGACUGGGGUGAAGUCGUAACAAGGUAGGCGUAGUGCU
This 529-nucleotide ribosomal RNA is filed under the name uncultured bacterium. RNAcentral describes it as "bacterial SSU rRNA". It matches the Rfam family "Bacterial small subunit ribosomal RNA", at positions 980 to 1509 of the family's 1533-position model. The record is from RNAcentral.